UCCCAGAUGGUGUAACGGCUAACAUUGCUGCCUUUCACGCAGCGGCUCGGGGUUCGAUUCCCCGUCUGGGAA
Molecule: transfer RNA, 72 nt
Organism: Dacryopinax sp.
Lineage: Eukaryota; Fungi; Basidiomycota; Dacrymycetes; Dacrymycetales; Dacrymycetaceae
Rfam family: tRNA
About the family: Transfer RNA (tRNA) molecules are approximately 80 nucleotides in length. Their secondary structure includes four short double-helical elements and three loops (D, anti-codon, and T loops). Further hydrogen bonds mediate the characteristic L-shaped molecular structure. tRNAs have two regions of fundamental functional importance: the anti-codon, which is responsible for specific mRNA codon recognition, and the 3' end, to which the tRNAs corresponding amino acid is attached (by aminoacyl-tRNA synthetases). tRNAs cope with the degeneracy of the genetic code in two manners: having more than one tRNA (with a specific anti-codon) for a particular amino acid; and 'wobble' base-pairing, i.e. permitting non-standard base-pairing at the 3rd anti-codon position.
Source: Rfam